CCAGGCCUGGCACACAUCUCUCCCCAUCGCCCCUACUUCUUCCACCUCCGGCCACCGCCGCGGCCAGGCCGACAUGGCGGUGUGCCACCCAGCCAUCCAUCAGCACGCCACCAACAUCAGCGCCUCCAUUCACUAGCUUCUUUAUCUUCAACCUGCUGCUACUCGCCCACAACUCUCUCUGCUGCUUCUCUCUAUCUGAAUCCCUGCUGCUGUCCUUCUUCUCCUUCACCUGCUGCUGCUCCCUCUCCCACAUCUUUGCUGCUUCUUCUCUCAGCCUCCUGCUGCUGCUCUUUUCUUCCCAAAACUGCUGCUGUUAUUCUUCUUCUCCUCUCUCUUGUUGCACUUCUUCUCUGAACCUCAAGCACACUCUGCUGCUAUCUCAACCCCCUGCUCCUCCUCUUCUCCCCAUGCCUCACUUGCUGCUGCUUCUCUUCUUCUAUCCCCAAAACUGCUGCUGCUCUCUCUCAAUCUCUCUCUCUCUCUCUCUC
RNAcentral lists this ribosomal RNA (488 nucleotides) under Triticum aestivum (bread wheat). Its description in RNAcentral is "partial small subunit ribosomal RNA". Lineage: Eukaryota; Viridiplantae; Streptophyta; Magnoliopsida; Poales; Poaceae. The record is from RNAcentral.